AGUGAACGCUGGCGGCAGGCCUAACACAUGCAAGUCGAGCGGCAGCGCGUCCGACCACCCUCGGGUGGUCGGAUGGCGGCGAGCGGCGGACGGGUGAGGAGUGCAUCGGAAUCUGCCUCGUUGUGGGGGAUAACGUAGGGAAACUUACGCUAAUACCGCAUACGACCUGAGGGUGAAAGCGGGGGACCGAAAGGCCUCGCGCGAUGGGAGCGGCCGAUGCCGGAUUAGCUAGUUGGUAGGGUAAAGGCCUACCAAGGCGACGAUCCGUAGCUGGUCUGAGAGGACGACCAGCCACACUGGGACUGAGACACGGCCCAGACUCCUACGGGAGGCAGCAGUGGGGAAUUUUGGACAAUGGGCGCAAGCCUGAUCCAGCCAUGCCGCGUGCGGGAAGAAGGCCUCGG
RNAcentral lists this ribosomal RNA (404 nucleotides) under uncultured bacterium. RNAcentral describes it as "bacterial SSU rRNA". It matches the Rfam family "Bacterial small subunit ribosomal RNA", at positions 30 to 420 of the family's 1533-position model. The record is from RNAcentral.